UUAUAUUUGCUUGAAUUUGGUGAUUGUUAAUUACUAGUUAAAAAACAAUCUUAAAAGGGAAUUCGGUGUAAAUCCGAAACAGGCCCGCUGCUGUAAUCUUUAAAUAUGUUUUAAGAGUUAUGCCACUGAGUAAUUAUUAGCUUGGGAAGGUUCUUAAAAUGAAGUAAGUCAGAAUACCUGCCAGAUUUGAAUAUAGUUU
Molecule: non-coding RNA, 199 nt
Filed under: Apibacter mensalis
Lineage: Bacteria; Pseudomonadati; Bacteroidota; Flavobacteriia; Flavobacteriales; Weeksellaceae
Also listed under: 1 other name
Source: RNAcentral